Molecule: ribosomal RNA, 874 nt
Filed under: uncultured bacterium
Lineage: Bacteria
Description: bacterial SSU rRNA
Rfam family: Bacterial small subunit ribosomal RNA
Source: RNAcentral
GAUGAACGCUAGCGGCAGGCCUAACACAUGCAAGUCGAGGGGCAGCACGAAUUAGCUUGCUAAUUUGGUGGCGACCGGCGCACGGGUGCGUAACGCGUAUGCAACCUACCUUAUACAAGAGUAUAGCCCGGAGAAAUUCGGAUUAAUCCUCCAUGGUACUGAGACACCGCAUGGUGCUUCAGUUAAAGCUUCGGCGGUAUAAGAUGGGCAUGCGUCCUAUUAGCUAGAUGGUAAGGUAACGGCUUACCAUGGCUACGAUAGGUAGGGGGCCUGAGAGGGUGGUCCCCCACACUGGUACUGAGACACGGACCAGACUCCUACGGGAGGCAGCAGUGAGGAAUAUUGGUCAAUGGGCGCAAGCCUGAACCAGCCAUGCCGCGUGCAGGAAGAAUGCCCUAUGGGUUGUAAACUGCUUUUAUUUGGGAAUAAACCUUUCUACGUGUAGGAAGCUGAAGGUACCAAAUGAAUAAGCACCGGCUAACUCCGUGCCAGCAGCCGCGGUAAUACGGAGGGUGCAAGCGUUAUCCGGAAUCAUUGGGUUUAAAGGGUCCGCAGGCGGAUUUAUAAGUCAGUGGUGAAAGCCUACAGCUUAACUGUAGAACUGCCAUUGAUACUGUAAGUCUUGAAUUCGGUCGAAGUGGGCGGAAUGUGUAGUGUAGCGGUGAAAUGCAUAGAUAUUACACAGAACACCGAUAGCGAAGGCAGCUCACUAGGCCUGGAUUGACGCUCAGGGACGAAAGCGUGGGGAUCAAACAGGAUUAGAUACCCUGGUAGUCCACGCUGUAAACGAUGAUUACUCGUUUUCGGCGAUAUACAGUCGGAGACUAAGCGAAAGUGAUAAGUAAUCCACCUGGGGAGUACGAUCGCAAGGUUG